AUUGAACGCUGGCGGCAGGCCUAACACAUGCAAGUCGAACGAGUGGCGGACGGGUGAGUAAUGUAUGGGAAACUGCCUGAUGGAGGGGGAUAACUACUGGAAACGGUAGCUAAUACCGCAUACCAUCGGAUGUGCACAGAUGGGAUUAGCUCGUAGGUGGGGUAACUGCUCACCUAGGCGACGAUCACUCUCUGGGCUGAGAGGAUGACCAGCCACAAUGGAACUGAGACACGGUCCAGACUCAGACGGGGGGCAGCAGUGGGCAGUAUUGCCCUAUGGGGGCAAGCCUGAUGCAGCCAUGCCGCGUGUAUGAAGAAGGCCUGCGGGUAGUAAAGUACUUGCAGCGGGGAGGCGUUACCCGCAGAGUAAGCACCGGCUAACUCCGUGCCAGCAGCCGCGGUAAUUC
This 406-nucleotide ribosomal RNA is filed under the name uncultured bacterium. RNAcentral's name for it is "partial 16S ribosomal RNA". It matches the Rfam family "Bacterial small subunit ribosomal RNA", at positions 30 to 526 of the family's 1533-position model. The record is from RNAcentral.